Molecule: ribosomal RNA, 460 nt
Filed under: uncultured bacterium
Lineage: Bacteria
Description: partial 16S ribosomal RNA
Rfam family: Bacterial small subunit ribosomal RNA
Source: RNAcentral
CCUACGGGAGGCAGCAGUGAGGAAUAUUGGUCAAUGGACGAGAGUCUGAACCAGCCAAGUAGCGUGAAGGAUGACUGCCCUAUGGGUUGUAAACUUCUUUUAUAAAGGAAUAAAACGAGGCACGUGUGCCUUUUUGCAUGUACUUUAUGAAUAAGGAUCGGCUAACUCCGUGCCAGCAGCCGCGGUAAUACGGAGGAUCCGAGCGUUAUCCGGAUUUAUUGGGUUUAAAGGGUGCGUAGAUGGGUUGUUAAGUCAGUUGUGAAAGUUUGCGGCUCAACCGUGAAAUUGCAAUUGAUACUGGCAGUCUUGAGUACAGUUGAGGUAGGCGGAAUUCGUGGUGUAGCGGUGAAAUGCUUAGAUAUCACGAAGAACCCCGAUUGCGAAGGCAGCUUACCAAACUGUGACUGACAUUGAUGCUCGAAAGUGUGGGUAUCAAACAGGAUUAGAUACCCUUGUAGUC